AAGCAUCUGAAAUUGCUGAAUCACGCCUCAAGUCUGUUCUGUAGAAAUGUCCUUCAGCUUUGCACAUAAAGAAAUGCAGUGAGUUAUAACGAAAUGGCAGCUUUGGAUGCAGAAUCCAGGUCUGGAGCAAGUCAGCAUCGGCUUUAAGAGGCCUUGGGAAGACUUGCUAAUUAUCUGUGCAAAUAAAGAAGCCUUGGUCCAGAUGGAAUCAGAUCUCUGAUACCUGGCUUUUGAACCAUCAUGUGGACUACCAUCAGGUGUGGGCUUGCAGAAAAGUGUAUCAGGGAUACAGCUCAAGUUUUAGAUGAAGCUGCCAGACCAGAUGGGCUUCUGAAGAGAGCACAGAACAGACUCCUCCAGACAACAGAAAAUGAUGGCCUUUUUUGUGGACAGCUGGUAAAGACAGGGGAUUCCAGCCCUCUACACUGCUCUCAUGAGAGCCCAGCUGGAGAGCCCACAUGGAGAACCACCCAGCAUAGGAAGGACAUCAGUCUGUUGGAGCAAUUCCAGAGGAGGGCCAUGAAGAAGAUCAGAGGGAAGGAAGACUUCUAUGAGAAGAGUCUGAGAGAAUUAGGGUUGAAGAGCCCAGAGAAGAGAAGGAUCCAGGGACACCUAAUAGUACCUUCCAGUAGCUAAAGAAAGCCUACAAGAAAGGUGGAGACAGAGUUUUGACAAGGGCAGGUAGUGAAAGGACAAGGAGGAAUGGCUUCAAAUUGAAAGAGAGCGGGUUUAGAUUAGGUAUAUGGAAGAAAUUCUUUCCUGUGAGGGGCGGUAAGACAUUGGAAUACACUUCCCAGAGAAGUUGUGGAUGCCCCAACCCUGGAAAUAUUCAAGGCCAGGUUGGAUGUGGCUUUAAGUAAUCUGAUCUCAUGGAAGGUGUCCCUAGCCAUGACCAGGGGGUUUUAAACUGGGUGGUCUUUAGGUUGUCUUCCAACCCAAAUCAUUCUAUGAUUCACUAUUUCUAUCUACCCACUGUCUCCUCAUCUCCUGUGCUAGGAUCCUGAAUGUUUCAGAUCAAUUACUAUGAACCUGAAAAUUCAUUAAAUCUUUGGGAUAUUCUGUGUAGGCACUUGCCAUUAAAAACAAGAAUGGAAAGAAAAUACACAGAUAAUGCAGCAAAUGGUUAUAAUUAAGCAUUAAUAUAUUUUUGGGCCUCUUUUAUUUUAUUGUUCUAGUGUAUGAGGAAUACAUAUAUUAUUUAAGAAAAUAAACCAGGAAAUUUGGAAAAGUGUUUCCUUUUG
Molecule: long non-coding RNA, 1241 nt
Filed under: Serinus canaria (Common canary)
Lineage: Eukaryota; Metazoa; Chordata; Aves; Passeriformes; Fringillidae
Description: lncRNA (ENSSCAG00000016914.1)
Source: RNAcentral